This 446-nucleotide ribosomal RNA is filed under the name uncultured bacterium. RNAcentral's name for it is "partial 16S ribosomal RNA". It matches the Rfam family "Bacterial small subunit ribosomal RNA", at positions 29 to 523 of the family's 1533-position model. The record is from RNAcentral.
AACGAACGCUGGCGGCAGGCCUAAUACAUGCAAGUCGAACGCACCGCAAGGUGAGUGGCAGACGGGUGAGUAACGCGUGGGAACCUUCCUUGCAGUACGGAAUAACUCCGGGAAACCGGUGCUAAUACCGUAUACGCCCUCCGGGGGAAAGAUUUAUCGCUGCAAGAUGGGCCCGCGUCGGAUUAGCUAGUUGGUGGGGUAAUGGCCUACCAAGGCUACGAUCCGUAGCUGGUCUGAGAGGAUGAUCAGCCACACUGGGACUGAGACACGGCCCAGACUCCUACGGAGGCAGCAGUAGGGAAUAUUGGACAAUGGGCGAAAGCCUGAUCCAGCCAUGCCGCGUGAGUGAAGAAGGCCUUAGGGUUGUAAAGCUCUUUUGGCGGGGACGAUAAUGACGGUACCCGCAGAAUAAGCUCCGGCUAAUUUCGUGCCAGCAGCCGCCGUAA